CUGGAAUGAUGUGCCUUAGCCAAAUCAGACAUUGUUGUGCUCCAAAAGGUAGCGUCUAAAGCACGCUUGCCAAAUGUCAACUGGAUGCUUUUAUUUUUAAUCUUGUCCAGU
Molecule: small nucleolar RNA, 111 nt
Organism: Andrographis paniculata
Lineage: Eukaryota; Viridiplantae; Streptophyta; Magnoliopsida; Lamiales; Acanthaceae
Product: small nucleolar RNA snoR127
Exons: 1
Source: RefSeq, a predicted model, not a curated record